Molecule: RNA transcript, 888 nt
Organism: Odobenus rosmarus divergens (Pacific walrus)
Lineage: Eukaryota; Metazoa; Chordata; Mammalia; Carnivora; Odobenidae
Gene name: ER membrane protein complex subunit 2-like
Exons: 1
Source: RefSeq, a predicted model, not a curated record
AUGGCAAAGGUCUCAGAGCUUUAUGAUGUCACUUGGGAAGAAAUGCGAGAUAAAAUGAGAAAAUGGAGAGAAGAAAACUCAUAAAACAGUGAGCAAAUUGUGGAAGUUGGAGAGGAAUUAAUGAAUAUGCUUCUAAGCUUGGAGAUGAUAUUUGGAUCAUAUAUGAGCAAGUGAUGAUUGCAGCCCUAGACUAUGGUUGAGAUGAUUUGGCAUUGUUUUGUCUUCAGGAGUUGAGAAGACAGUUCCCUGGCAGUCACAGAGUCAAGAGAUUUGAAGCAUGAGAUUUGAAGCCAUGGAAAGAUAUGAUGAUGCUAUACAACUAUAUGAUAGAAUUUUACAAGAAGAUCCAACUAACACUGCUGCAAGAAAGCAUAAGAUUACCAUUUGAAAAGCCCAGGGGAAAAAUGUGGAGGCCAUUCGGGAACUGAAUGACUAUCUGGAACAAUUUGUUGGGGACCAAGAAGCUUGGCAUGAACUUGCAGAACUUUAUAUCAAUGAACAUGACUAUGCUAAAGCAGCCUUUUGUUUAGAGGAGAUAAUGAUGACUAAUCCACAAAACCACUUAUACUGUCAGCAGUAUGCUGAAGUUAAAUAUACCCAAGAUGGACUUGAAAACCUCAAACUUUCAAGAAAGUAUUUUGCUCAGGCACUGAAACUGAACAACAGAAAUAUGAGAGCUUUGUUUGGGUUUUACAUGUCGGCAAGUCAUAUUGCGUCUAAUCCAAAAGCAAGUGCAAAAACAAAAAAGGACAACAUGAAAUAUGCUAUUGGGCAGCUAGUCAAAUAAACAGAGCUUAUCAGUUUGAAGGUUGAAGUAAGAAGGAAAUCAAAUACACUCUUAAGGCAGUCGAAGACAUGUUGGAAACACUGCAGAUCACCCAGUCUUAA